Long non-coding RNA from Gorilla gorilla gorilla (western lowland gorilla), 4585 nucleotides. RefSeq lists it as uncharacterized. The record is from RefSeq and is a predicted model, not a curated record. The transcript is spliced from 2 exons. NCBI's taxonomy places the organism in Eukaryota, Metazoa, Chordata, Mammalia, Primates, Hominidae.
CCAUCUUCAUUGUAACAUUUGUGAAGCACUUUAUAGUUCAGAAAGCAUUUUUCCCUUAGAUCCUCCUGACAGCUCCCUGUGGUGUGAAAAGGAGCUAUCAUCUACACUUGCUGCAGGUGAGAUGACUGUCCCGGCAAUGGCCCAAGGCCCAUCCUCUCUCAAUGUGACUGUUUAUCCAUGUUACUCCAAGAGAAUCUAACAGUUAAGGGGAGAAAAAGCUGCACUGCUUGCUUCCAGAGCUAACUGUGUCCUCCCUGCUGUCCUCCCUGCUCUGGGCCACAGCGAACACUGGACAGUGAUAUUAAAACCUAGAGCAUGAGGAAGCCAGUGAGGAGAAGCUGGUGAGAGGCUCUGCCCUCAGAUGAGAGGAACUGGAAUUCACACAUGCUCCGUCUGCCUCUGCAAACUUCGGAUGACUCAGUGUCUACCCAGCGCCUGGUCAUCGGCAUUCCUGCCAAGUGGAUCUCAGGACAAAGAAAGGACAUGACUGCCUGAAGAGGGCCCAGACAUGCAGUGGGGCAGGUGCUGGCAUCUGAGAAAGUCCUAGGAGAGAACCUCCUCCAGUGUGUGAAGAGCUUCCCAAGCACCAGGUCCACUGACUGUGGCGUCAAAGACAGUGAAAAGCUGGCCUUGGGGUGAUGCCAUCCAGGAAGGCAUGCCAGAUCAGAUGCCCAGGUGGGUUCGGAGGCCUCCUCUGUACUUUCUCAUGAUCAUCACAAAUGGAUGUCACUGUGUUGUGAGUGGGAUCCUCUGGGCAGGGACCAGGUCUAAGUCCCCAGGUUCCAACACACAGGGAUGUGAGCUGCUUGGAAAGUCCUCCCCAAAGCCAGGAUUUCUUCCUUUCUGCCCUGGCCAAACAGUUCCUGUGUCUUGUGCUUCCAUAUUAGGCCUCCAGAGGUCAGACAAAUCCCAGGUGUUUGGGGCUCAAAGCUGCUAACCCAAGGGAGCCCUCAGACUACUCCAGCCCCAGUAAAGUCCCAGAAGUUCCAUAUCCACUGUGAUCCUGCAUCUCUUCCCAAGUCCCAACUCUGUCCUGAGGAGCUCUAGAGGCAGACACCACUCCUCCCCUCCUCACCUGUCACCACCCCUCACCCCCACUCUUCAUGCCUUGCUGCAGAGGAUAUGGCCGCUCACCUAUAGAUCUUACGGUAGGAGAGGUCACACCAGUAGAUGCGAUUGGUGGCAACUUCCACAUCUAGUGCCACGACAUUCUUGAGCAUGGGGAUGAGGCGUGAAUAGUUUCGCUUUACCAGGUCGAUCCUCCGCACCUCGUGCCGGUUGGUGAAGAUUAGGGAUGGGCUCUUGCCAGCUGCCAUGCAGGGAGGUUGAAAGAGAAAGAGUCAGUGCAAGAGGCAGGGAGCCUGGAGACCAAGACUCUGCCACUGGCUUGCUGGCUGACACAUCCAUUUUCCUUAAAAUAGUAGUGACAAUUCCUACUUUACAGGUUGCAGGAGCAGAUGAAAUAAUGAGUACAGAAAGCAGAAGAUGCAGAGCACCACGCAUAGCAGGAAGAUUCUUAUUCUUUUUAUUAGAUACAAACUUCUCCAAAAUCUUUUAUGGCUCCCCAUUUUCUCCUUAGGCCUGCACUGAAAGCCUUCCACAGUGUGACCCCAAGUUCCCUGUCCAGCCUCAUUACUCGCCUCUCCAACAUAGCUUGAUUCCACCUACCAGAUACCAUUACCUAGCCAUGGAUGGGCUUCCUGCCUCAGAGCCUUUGCUCAGGUUGUCUCUUCCACCUACUAUGUAUUUCUUUCCAGCAACUACCAUCUUCUCUGCUUGGGCCCUACUGCUGUGGUUCAAGAAGGAACUACCUGAGCAAGUAAGUGUCUUAGAAAGAUAACUAGGGGCCAGGCACAGUGGCUCACACCUGUAAUCCCAGCACUUUAGGAGGCUGAGGCUGGCACAUUGCUUGAGGCCAGGAGUUUGAGACUAGCCUGGGUAAUAUGGCAAAAUCCCAUCUCUAAAAAAAAAAAUAAAAAAAAAAUUAGCUGGGCAUGGUGGCACAUGCCUGUAGUCCCAGCUACUCAGGAGGCUGAAGUGGGAGAAUCAUUUGAGCCCGGGAGGUUAAGGCUGCAGUGAGCCAUGAUUGUGCCACUGCACUCCAGCCUGAGUGACAGAGACUCUGUCUCAAAGGAAAAAAAAAAAAAGAUAAUUCAGGAUAGAAAGUAUUGGGGACAUAGCAAGAGAUGAGCUUCAGAGAUUGGCAGGGGCCAGAUCACAAAGGGUCCUAUGAGCUGGGUGAGUUUGUUCUCUAUCCUGAGCCAAUGGCAGAGAUGGGACAUAUAUGAUAUACAACACAGAUUAUAUAUAUGCAGUAGAGACAACAUACAACUGCUCAUGUAUACACAAAACCUGUAUUUUUCUUAGAUUUAGGGUUAGAUUUUAAGAUGAUAAAUAAGUGACCUAGACUUUCCUGGCUACUCCAUAUGGGAGGACACUGUCCCAUGGGCCUCUGAGGGCCUAGCACCAGCUCCCGCAGGCUGUUUCUAGAUGUAUUGGGCCACUCUCAGGCACCAACACUGUCUGAGGGGCUGCUCCUAGUAACACCUGCCCCUCAAGCUCCCUGUGCCUCCUUCUCUUGUUUUCCAGCUGACACUUCUGCCAGCCACCAGUCCCUGUCACUGUGCAUCUUUGCCAAGCUAAUGUGCUCCCUGGAGGAUGGGACCAGCACAGAGUCAUGUAGGGCCUGGGGCUGGGUGUGUGACCUGUGUGUAGUGAUGGAGACUAAUUCAAAGCAGGGUGGGAGUGAGACAGAAGUGUGGUACAAAUAGAGAGCAUGGAGAAUGGACUCAAGGUGCAGGAAGGGGCAAGGAUGAAAGCUGAGUUCCAGGCCAGCUCUGCCACUGACAAGCUGUGAUUUCCCUCACCCCAAAAUGACAGUAAUGACACUUCACCUCCCUGAAGGCAGGAGCCAGGUUAAAGGGGCAUGUUGGAGUGAUUUUAAAUGACAGCUGUGACUGUGACAGGAACCCCCUGUGUUUAUUAUUUGAGACUUUAUGUAAUUGCACUUGAAAUAUUCAUGUGUGUGGAUUCUGUAUAUGCAUGGGUAGUUGCAUGUUGUCUCCAGUGCAUGUACAUAAUCUGUGUCAUGUAUUACAUGUGUUCUAUAUGGGGGCAAGAACAGGUUACACGUUAUAUGUGAUAUACUAAUGUAUGAGUUACAUAUUGUACAGUUUGGGUGUUAACACUUUUUGGGUUUAUGGGCUACAUGUCAGUAUUAUGGCUGCUGUAUUGUUAUAAUUUAUCUGUUGUAUAUUGUAUUUAACUUGCAUAUGAACUCCAGACUUAUAUAUCCAGCUGCCUUCUCAAUAUCUCUACUUGGAUACCUAACCAGUUUUCUUAAACAUAACAUGUCCAAAACAGCCUAAGAUUCCUCCAAACCUGCUUCCCUCACCAUCUUUCCCAAGCCCAUACGUAGCAAUCUUAUUUUUUCAGUUGCUGUAACUUUUUUUUCCACAUUCCACAUUCAAUUCAUAAGCAAAUCCUGUUGGCUGGCCUUUGCACUAUAUCUGCAGUCUGUCCACCUUUCAUUAUUCCCACAGUAAUAAUGUGGGAAUAAGGGUUCAGCCACCAUCACCUCGCUUCUGGAUUAUUGCAAUGACCUCUUAAGUGGUUUCCCUGCCUUCUCCCUUGUGCUCUACAGUCUGUUCUCAAUACUGCAGUCAGAAUAAAAUGUCACACCAUGUCCCUUCCCUACUCAGAGCCCUCAAUGGUUUCCCCCCAGUUAGAGUGAAAUCCAGAGCUGGCUCUUACAAUGGUCUAGAAGGCCCUUUGGGCUGCCCCAAGCCACCUCUCUGGCUUCAUCUCUUCCUAGUUUCCUUGCUCCAACUGUACCAGCUUCCUUGCUAUUCCUUGAACAUACUAGGCAUGCUCCUGCAUUAGGGCUUUUGCGGUUUCUGUCUCUUCAGCCUGAAAUGCUUGUUCCUACAGAUAAUUGCAUGGUAGCUUACUGUCUCACCUCCCUCACUCCCUUUUUAUUUAUUAUUAUUAUUAUUUUUAGAAAAGGUCUCACUCUGUCACCCAGGCUGGAGUGCAGUGGCAUCAUAACUCACUGUGACCUCAAACUCCCGGGCUCAAGGGAUCUUCCUGCCUCAGUCUCCUGAGUAGCUUGGGACUAUAGGUGCAUGGUACUAUACCUGGCUAGUUUUUAAAUUUUUUUUUAGAUAUAGGGUCUUACUACAUUGCCCAGACUAGUCUUGAACUCCUGGCCUCAAGUGAUCUUCCUGCCUAGGCCUCCCAAAGUGUUGGGAUUACAAGCAUGAGCCACCACACCCACCCCCCUUCACCUUCUUUACUCAAAUACCUUCUCAGUGAGGGCUUCCCUGACCAUUCCAUUUAAAACUAGAACCCCCUGCUCACCUGGACUUCCCUAUUCCCAUUCUCUACUUUCUAUUUUUCCUUAGCCCUUAUCGCCAUCUGCCAUGCACUAUAUUUUAUUUAUUUAUCUGAUUUCUAGCCUGGCUCACCCAUUAGACUAUAAGUCCCUUGAGGGCAGACAGGGAUUUGCAUCUGUUUUGCUUACUGCUGAAUCCCCAGUGUCUACUACAAUGUUAGGUGUUCAAUAUAAACAACUGAAUACAAUGAA